RNAcentral lists this ribosomal RNA (301 nucleotides) under uncultured bacterium. RNAcentral describes it as "partial 16S ribosomal RNA". It matches the Rfam family "Bacterial small subunit ribosomal RNA", at positions 509 to 809 of the family's 1533-position model. The record is from RNAcentral.
CAGUCGCCACGGUAAUACGUAGGUCCCGAGCGUUGUCCGGAUUUAUUGGACGUAAAGGGAGCGCAGGCGGUUUAGUAAGUCUGAAGUUAAAGGCAUUGGCUCAACCAAUGUAUGCUUUGGAAACUGUUAGACUUGAGUGCAGAAGGGGAGAGUGGAAUUCCAUGUGUAGCGGUGAAAUGCGUAGAUAUUAGGAAGAACACCAGUGGCGAAGGCGACUUUCUGGACGAAAACUGACGCUGAGGCGCGAAAGCCAGGGGAGCGAACGGGAUUAGAUACCCGGGUAGUCCCUGUCUCUUAUACA